UGUGCCAUUGACCUCUUCCACCAUUCAUGAAGGAAGUUCCUUGCCCAAGGACACAACUACAAUAACGUCGCACAAACCCUUCUUCAGUUCUUCUCUCAAACAGAAAACAGUUCACUAUCAUUACGAUGAUUCUAUUGCUUCAUGACAUCGCACGCUUGGAUGAAACAAAACAUAACUCCAGUUAAAAAGACCCAAGAUACUGAUAACUGAC
Long non-coding RNA from Boleophthalmus pectinirostris (great blue-spotted mudskipper), 211 nucleotides. RefSeq lists it as uncharacterized. The transcript has 3 exons. The record is from RefSeq and is a predicted model, not a curated record. NCBI's taxonomy places the organism in Eukaryota, Metazoa, Chordata, Actinopteri, Gobiiformes, Gobiidae.